Ipomoea triloba (trilobed morning glory) is the source of this 714-nucleotide long non-coding RNA. RefSeq lists it as uncharacterized. The record is from RefSeq and is a predicted model, not a curated record. The transcript has 2 exons. NCBI's taxonomy places the organism in Eukaryota, Viridiplantae, Streptophyta, Magnoliopsida, Solanales, Convolvulaceae.
UCUUCUCUCCUCUCUUCACUGUUUUCUCCCGACGACGACGCCGUCCGCAAUUGCCUUCCGUCGCUGCCGUCUGCAAUCGCCAUUCGUUGCCGUCGUCCGCAACCGCCUUCCGUCGCCGCCGUCUGCAAUCGCCUACCGUCGCCGCUGUCCGCAACUACCAUCGAUCGCCGCAACCGCUGCCAUUCGUGAGCCACAACCAAUGUUGCUGCAAUCCGCUCCAGCCACAUCCGCUACCGCCUCUUCUAGUCUGCGUCGCCUUAGCCUCUGCCAGCCACCGCCGCCCCAGUCGCUACCAGCCAUCGCUGCCAGUCACGUCGCCACCAGCCCUUCCACCUACAUUUCUUAUCAAAAAGCUCUUAGGGCAGACUCUUCAUAUAAAGCAGCUGCAGAAUGCCUUGCAAUUGUAUUAACGGACCUUGGAACCAGCUUAAAGCUUGCUGGUAAUACCCAGGAAGGGAUUCAGAAGUACUAGGAAGCAAUUGAAAUAGAUAAACACUAUGCUGUAAAUUCAUCAUUCUCUAACUUUUGUCCUGAUGCAGAAUUAGCAAAGAUAUUAGAUUUUAAUGGAUUGUGAUACAUGCAGCCUGCUUAUUAUAACCUUGGUGUCAUCCAUUAAGGUUAUCUUCAUUUUAUAGUCAAGUUUAUUUUCAAUGGUAUAGAAUUGUUAUUGAAUUAAGUUAUCAAAAAGAAAAAAAAGUCAUUGCUGUUGUUGAA